UCCUUGACGCGGACGAAACGCGGAGGGGAGGCUGGAGACCAGUGGGGCAAGGAAGCAUGGGAGGCGUUGGCGAGGCUCCUAAUCCUCCCAUCCUCUCCUCCUCAUGUCUAGAAGAUUCGAUGGUGGAUGAGCCGUCCGGCAACGGGAGAAGGGGCGGAGGGGAUGGAGACCGCGUCGCCCACCUACAAGGAUGGAGGCGGCCAUCGGUGGGGCGGAGGCCGCGGCGUCCACCGGCGGAAGGGAGGUGGACGGAGGUGGCGGAGACUGUCGGGGAUUGAGGCGGAUCGAUUGACAUAGACAACAAGAUGGGUGCAGAGUCUGCCCACCUCGACUGCAAGCAGCAGUAAGCCGCUGAAUACCAUGAGAAACUGAGAAUCAAGUGCUCGCUCUUCUUUUUUCAAGAUCAGAGAUGCUAUCACCCAAAGGCAGGUACACAAUGUUGUCAUGUACAUCCUUUGUCUGCUAUGGGUUCUUCUACCUCUAUUUUUGCUCCGCACUCUUAUAUUCAUUGUCAACCUGUUAUUAUGGUUGCCUCUGUUGGUUCUAGAUUAUGCCGCACACCUGAUGUUUGAAUGAAUUGGUUCCUGGUGCACACCUCCCCUCUCCGAGGAACUAGACGUUGACAUUCAUAGAUGGAUGAUGCCUGGGACCUCGUGCACGUCGCAGGCUCCAAGGGAGGCUGAAGGUGUGGAUCAGCCUAGCCGAUGAGCUGUAGGUUGAUGUGAAUGGCGUUGGUGAGAAAGUUUCAUUGUUUUCUUAUCAGUGGUCGUUUUUGAGAUUUGUUCCUUGCAUGUGCUAUACAAGUUAUGUUCCUGGCUGGUGGUAUACCGAAGUAAUGGCUGAAGUGCUAUUAUAGCCCAGUUUGACCCAGAAACAAUGGUAUCAAGUGGUGAUGA
This is a long non-coding RNA of Lolium rigidum, 896 nucleotides long. RefSeq lists it as uncharacterized. The transcript has 3 exons. The record is from RefSeq and is a predicted model, not a curated record. Lineage: Eukaryota; Viridiplantae; Streptophyta; Magnoliopsida; Poales; Poaceae.